GCUGGGUGUAGUGGUCUGCUUGUAGUUCCAGCUACUUGGGAGGCUGAGGGAGGAGGACCACUUGAGUCCAGCAAUUCUGGGUUGUAGUGUGCUAUGCCUAUCAGUUGUCUGCACUAGGUUUGUCAUCAAUUUCAUGUCCUCCUGGGAAUAGGAGACCAACAGGUUCCCUAAGAAGAGGUGAACCAGCCUAAGUUGGAAACGGAGCAAGUCAAAACUGCCGUACUGGUCAGUAGUGGGAUCUCACGCGUAAAGAGCUACUGCAUUCCAACCUGGGCAACAUAGUGAGAUCCUGUCUCU
RNAcentral lists this signal recognition particle RNA (297 nucleotides) under Mandrillus leucophaeus (drill). RNAcentral's name for it is "Metazoan signal recognition particle RNA (ENSMLEG00000002535.1)". It matches the Rfam family "Metazoan signal recognition particle RNA". Rfam says of the family: The signal recognition particle (SRP) is a universally conserved ribonucleoprotein. It is involved in the co-translational targeting of proteins to membranes. Lineage: Eukaryota; Metazoa; Chordata; Mammalia; Primates; Cercopithecidae. The record is from RNAcentral.